Molecule: long non-coding RNA, 3587 nt
Organism: Vigna unguiculata (cowpea)
Lineage: Eukaryota; Viridiplantae; Streptophyta; Magnoliopsida; Fabales; Fabaceae
Source: RefSeq, a predicted model, not a curated record
UAUCAAUUACACAUUUCUUCCGCGUGACCAACAAAGGCGCAACGUUUCAAUCUGAGCCCAUUUCUUCCAACCCAGCUUCUGCGUAAGAAAGGGAAGGGAGCACCACUAGGGUUUCGUGACAGCUGCCGCUUGCUUUUCCAUCUGCACCUUCACCAUCCACCAGCCCAAUUUGAAGAUUUUUCUACACUGCCGACCCAACAUCCACUUCCAUUAUUUGGCAGCCACAUUAGGAUUCCAGUCACGCAUUCUGUCUUGCGUGCCAUCACUUCUUCACGGCACCUGCUACUUCAUAGCCUUAGAUUAGGAUAUCGCCAUUAGGAUUGUUAGAAUGACGUUCUCUUCUCCUUGUUCUGUUAAAACUCUCAUGGUGGUCUUCUCACUAUAAAAGGCCAGCCAGCUAUCGUAAACCCAGCUUUUGAUGAAUGAGAUAUUCGGUAGAGAACACUCUCGCCGUUCAUCAGCUCACCAUAAGCCCUAGGUUAGGUCGUUACCUACUCGGGUUCCCCCAAACUAGUGAGAAACCAUAGCUAACCGAGCAUCAUAUUCAUUCCGUUGCGUUUCCCUCGCUCUCUGCGAGAUUCAAUCGGUAGAACACCGAUUGGGAGAGGUUUUUCGGCGACUAUCGCGACGGAGGAGCCUCAUCAAAGUGGUAUUCAGAGCCACUUCUGCUGGACCGCGAUCAGAUAAACUUCUUCUUUAUCUCUGGAUUUUUUUUCGUAUCUUUUUGAUUCCGUAUUGUUCCUGUUCUGUUGCGUCUUUUCUGAUUUUCGAAGUUUUCCUUGCUUCUCUGUUUGAAUCAGUGUUACUUAUGUGUUUACUAUUGAAAUUGAUUCAUAGUGCUUGUUCUCUUUUUUUCUGAAUCAAUACCGUGAUGAUUUCAUGUUUAGCUCUCUGAAUCUGCCGCUUAAUGCAUGUCUGUUAGGUUUUAAUUUCAGUUUUGAUUACCUAGCUUUAAAUUUUAUAAUCUUGUGUUUUUGUCUUAGGUUUUGUUAGUUCGUUUUCUAUGUCAAUGAUUCCAUAGAUGUUGUCUAAUUUGCGUAUUGUCACUGUUUUAUCUCGGUUUCAGUCCUUGUUUGGUCUAUCACAUGCUUCGUUUCUGUUCUGGUGUAUUGUGGAGUUCAUAUAUUGCUACUAGAUCAAUAGUAAUAUUCUGCAGUGUUUCAGUUUUCAUUGUUUCGUGUUUCACUCAUGCUGAGUUUGUAUUUGUCCGAGUUGUCAUUGCUUGUGGAUUUCGCAAUAAUUUUUUAUGAUCAAUGGCUAUCUGUGCUUUUGAUUUGUGUUGUUGUGCUGCACUUUGAAUCUGCUGGCCAAGGAUUGCUCCUGAUCGAAGCACCUAUUGAGUAAGCCACCACUGUGUUCUCUGAUUUGUAUCAGCAUAUAUAACUGGAAACUCAUGCUUUGAUCUAGGAUUUCAUAGGUUGUUUCAACACCUUAAUUUUUGUGCAUUUUGGCUUAUUGAAUUAGUGCCUGGCCAGUUAGUUGCUGUUGGUGCAGUUUUGCAAAUAUUUUCACAGUCUCUGCUACUUGCUCUAAGUUUGAAACUGUAUAUGUUUUUCAUGUGUUUGCUAUAUCACUAUUUUUGUAUCUAUGAUUAGCUUAGUGUCUAGUGUUUUUGAGAUUUCUUGUGUCUCUUGAGUGUAGUCGUUUUCUAACCUGACUUUGCUUAUCUAGUGUGGGUUUAGUUGCUCAUGUUUCUACCUAUCUGCAUAUGUUGAUUUUGCCUUGUGCGUAUGUUUGUUGGAAGCAGGCUAUUAUUGUUGCAACUGGGUUUAUUCUUGUGUUGCUUUGCUCCAUAGAUGUGCAGUUUGUGUUUCCACAGAUUAUGGCCAUUAAAAAUUGUUGCAGAUGUUGCAUUCUGUCUUGCCUGUUCUUGUGGCUAUAUAUUGUUAUGCAACGAUAAAUUUGUGCAUUCUGUUUUGCUUGAAAGUUGCUGCUAUGGCCCAGUUUUAGUGCAGUUGAUUGCUUUUGUUUGACUCACUUUUCCGUUGCAGUCUGCUGCAUAGUCUAGUUGUUGGAAAUUUCUAGUUCCUUGCAUCUGCACUGCACUGUCUGAGAGUUUCAUGUUGUCUUAUGUGUUUUUCACCUUUGUUUUUUUUUCUUUUUGAGUUGAAUCUCUUGAAAUAUGCCAUAUGCAUUUGUUCAUUGAUUUGGUGGUCAAAAAUUGCAUUUUGUGUGAACUAUUUUUCACGUUUUUGAUAGCUGAUAAGAAAAAGAGAAUGCAAUCAUUGAAAAGAAAAAGAAUGUUUGAUGAGUACAAAAGCAUCUGAAAGCGACUGAAUCAGUCUUGAUUGCAUUUGAACACAUUAUUUGUUCAGCACAAUAUACGCUGUCUUGCACAGUUCGCAACUGCUUACUAUUUUUUUUUCAAUGACAAUUGCAUAUGCUCUUGAUUCAACUUAAUUUGAGUCUUUGUUUGCUUUUGGUUUUGUUCAUCUUAAUCUAGAUACAUUCCUUAGGUUCUCUUUUGUGUGCCUCCUUUCUCAAAUUUGAACUUUUAUUGUUUUCUGCUUUUACUCUCAAAUGUGGCUGACUGAUCAUUUGCUCUUGGUUCAUUUGGCUUGCACUCACUGUUUUUGGUAGCCUUGUAGGUGAUACCCUUUCUGCAAGGUGAAGCUGUGGUGAGGAAAAACCAAUUGAGUGGCCACCGAGAGGAAAAAUGACCCGCUUUUGUAAGCUACCAAUUGGUAUUAGGCCUUCACAACACUUCCAACCAGCGUGCAUACAGAUGUGGGCCGAGAAGCCUGCUUUAACUCCUGGUGUGGAUCAGCAACGUAUUCAAAGCACAUUUCUUCAUAAUCAACAUUUGUUUUCAACACGUGGAGUGACUUGGGCCUAGAUGCUUGUCAUAUCUUUCCGAAGCCCAUUACCACACCUAUCAUUACAACAACACCCGCAUCACAGUUGUUUCUGCUUGCACACCUUCACGCGUCAACAAAGUUGAAGCCCACUUUCUUUCUCUCCAAAUUGAAGCUAUGCAUGCAUUUCUGCUAAAAACACGAUUGCGACCCAUGCCUCCAAACCAUUCACGAGUGCUGCUAUCAUGCCAACACGUGUUGGGCUACCAACCCAAUUUCACGCUCCAGUUCACCAAUGCUGUUAAACCAACAUUCCUUCUGUUAGAGCACCGCUAGGGUUCCUGGAUCCCCAUCAAUUAUACAUUUCUUCCGCGUGUCCAACAAAGGCGCAUCGUUUCAACCCGAGCCCAUUUCUUCCAACCCAGCUUCUGCGUAAGAAAGGGAAGGGAGCAUCACUAGGGCUUCGUGACAGCUGUCGUUUGCUUUUCGAUCUACACCUUCACCAUCCAGCAGCCCAAUUUGAAGAUUGCUCAACGCUGCCGAUCCAACAUCCACUUCCAUUAUUUGGCAGCAACGUUAGGAUUCCAGUAACGCAUUCUGUCACGCGUGCCAUCACUUCUUCAUGGCACCUGCUACUUCAUAGCCUUAGAUUAGGAUCUCGCCGUUAGGAUUGUUAGAAUGUCGUUCUCUUCUCCUUGUUUUGUUAAAACUUUCAUGGUGGUCUUCUCACUAUAAAAGGCCAGCUAGCUAUUGUAAACCCAACUGUUGAUGAAUGAGAUAUUCGAUAGAGAA